Ruditapes philippinarum (Manila clam) is the source of this 354-nucleotide long non-coding RNA. RefSeq lists it as uncharacterized. The record is from RefSeq and is a predicted model, not a curated record. Lineage: Eukaryota; Metazoa; Mollusca; Bivalvia; Venerida; Veneridae. The transcript has 4 exons.
CAAAAAUGAUUAAAAUUAGCAAUGUAAAUGUACAUAUGAAUAGCGUUGUGGUGAAAAAAAUUCUUAGAAAAGACAAUUGAGUGUGACGGAAAUGUUGUGGCUGUGACUGUUAAUUCUGAAGAACGGUUUGCCAUUGUUACCUUUGAUUCAUCUGCAGCUGUAUAUGAGAUAAUGGAGAAGAGACCAUUAAUUAUAAUGGGGUUUGAGACUGAUGUAGAUGUUUACAGGGACAAAGUUACUUCACAAACUGAACAUGCUGAAAGUGGAACACACAGAGCAGCAUCUUUACAAACAACAGAAACUAGACAUACAAGAUUUGGUGAAAACGAACCUGAUUCUUCACAAGAAUACGGU